GCUUCCAUCAAAAACCGAAACUUUAUGGUCCACACUGUGUAGAGCAUGGCUAACAUUGAGAUUAGCAAGUAUCUGUUUUUUGAUCAGAAGGGAGGAGAAGCUAAAGAUUUAAAAACAGCAGUGAAGCUUAGCAGCUAUCGAGACCCAGUCAGAGAUGAGGCUGAGAUGCGGGGUAUUAAGCAAACUUUACCGAUGCCCCCAAGGAGGGAAUUGGGAAACACAGCAAUCGAGCCAAGGAUUAAAAUUAGUACGACAAAUUCUACAAUAUUUAGGCAAUUUACGCCUUGUGAACUUGGAGAAACUUUAAAUUUUCAUCUUGGAUGGAAAAGAGACGUAGCCAAAGGGCCACUGCACUUCACUGAAAGAAUGAAAAUAAACCUUCUGAUGUGCAGCUUCAA
RNAcentral lists this long non-coding RNA (398 nucleotides) under Rattus norvegicus (Norway rat). Its description in RNAcentral is "long non-coding RNA NONRATT016482". The record is from RNAcentral. Lineage: Eukaryota; Metazoa; Chordata; Mammalia; Rodentia; Muridae.